AUGCAAUGUAUACUUCCAGCAGGAUGCACAGCCAACAACUAUGGUGUGCAUGCCCUGCCGAAGGACCCGAUCAUGCGGAAUAGAUAAAGUGCAGUUGGGUGCUAGGCUGAUCCCCUGGUCAUGAACGGAUGCCAGGACCUACCAGAAAGGCGCAAAGUCUCCCUGGACUCUUAUGAAAAGGACACGCCAUCAUGAGGCCUCUGAUAGCGACCCGAGUUACUGCCCUGAUGACACAGACGGCGUCACCAAGAACGACAGGUAAUGUGUGUCAUGUAUAAAGUUGUAUUCAAAAAUACCUGGCUGACAAACUAGUAGGCUAAUUCCCUAGCCAAGCAGAUACAUCUAGUAGAGUCAUUUUUGUUGUGAAGUGCAUUAGCAAAAAGCGUUGUCCUUUCUUUAGAACAAAACGCAAUUUACCACUUGUGUAUUAUAACAACCCAUCACCACCUCCUCAUAUAAUCAUUGCAUGCUGCAGUCGUUCUAGAAAUAUCCAGUUUGUAGCCGAACACGCAGCAUACAGAAGACCAGCAAGUGGGCACUCAUCAGCACCCUCA
Molecule: non-coding RNA, 554 nt
Organism: Salmo salar (Atlantic salmon)
Lineage: Eukaryota; Metazoa; Chordata; Actinopteri; Salmoniformes; Salmonidae
Source: RefSeq, a predicted model, not a curated record